Molecule: ribosomal RNA, 460 nt
Filed under: uncultured bacterium
Lineage: Bacteria
Description: partial 16S ribosomal RNA
Rfam family: Bacterial small subunit ribosomal RNA
Source: RNAcentral
CCUACGGGAGGCAGCAGUGAGGAAUAUUGGUCAAUGGACGAGAGUCUGAACCAGCCAAGUAGCGUGAAGGAUGACUGCCCUAUGGGUUGUAAACUUCUUUUAUCUGGGAAUAAAAUGUUCCACGUGUGGGAUUUUGUAUGUACCAUAUGAAUAAGGAUCGGCUAACUCCGUGCCAGCAGCCGCGGUAAUACGGAGGAUCCGGGCGUUAUCCGGAUUUAUUGGGUUUAAAGGGAGCGUAGGUGGAAUGUUAAGUCAGUUGGGAAAGUUUGCGGGUCAACCGUAAAAUUGCAGUUGAAACUGGCAGUCUUGAGUACAGUAGAGGUGGGCGGAAUGCGUGGUGUAGCGGUGAAAUGCUUAGAUAUCACGAAGAACUCCGAUUGCGAAGGCAGCUCACUGGACUGCAACUGACACUGAGGCACGAAAGUGUGGGUAUCAAACAGGAUUAGAUACCCUAGUAGUC